UACGAAGGGGGCUAGCGUUGCUCGGAAUUACUGGGCGUAAAGGGCGCGUAGGCGGCACUGUUAGUCAGGCGUGAAAUUCCUGGGCUCAACCUGGGGACUGCGCUUGAUACGGCAGAGCUUGAGGAUGGAAGAGGGUCGCGGAAUUCCCAGUGUAGAGGUGAAAUUCGUAGAUAUUGGGAAGAACACCGGUGGCGAAGGCGGCCUUCUGGACAGUGACUGACGCUGAGACGCGAAAGCGUGGGGAGCAAACAGG
RNAcentral lists this ribosomal RNA (253 nucleotides) under uncultured bacterium. RNAcentral describes it as "partial 16S ribosomal RNA". It matches the Rfam family "Bacterial small subunit ribosomal RNA", at positions 524 to 776 of the family's 1533-position model. The record is from RNAcentral.